This is a long non-coding RNA of Choloepus didactylus (southern two-toed sloth), 460 nucleotides long. RefSeq lists it as uncharacterized. The record is from RefSeq and is a predicted model, not a curated record. NCBI's taxonomy places the organism in Eukaryota, Metazoa, Chordata, Mammalia, Pilosa, Megalonychidae. The transcript has 3 exons.
GAGAAGAAACACCAAACCUGUCCCCUCUAAACUUGUGUCUGUGACUUUCUCUUGUCCUGGCCAUGAGCACUUUGUUGACAAGUUUCUUUUUCUCUGAGCUGACUUAUACAGCCUUUUUGAAACUCCCAAAAAAUAAAUUCCACCCAAACGAGGAAGUAAACCAAGGAAACAGAAGACAGAUGAUUGAGAAUAUAGCUGAUCUGACAAGGUGAAACAAAGGGAAUUUCCCAGAAAAUGUUGAAAUAAUGGUUCUACCUGGAAACCUGUCUUCCUAGGAUACAGCUUUAUUUUCUAUGUUUCUACAUCAUUGAAGAUUGAGGCCAUUCACUGCAGAGUCUCAACAUCUCUACAAAAAUCACCCUAUAAAUCAAAUCACCUAGGAAUAGGGAUCACUUAGAAAACUAAAAUGUGGACAGAAUAUGAAUGUAAGAAUUAUAGUUUUCAGAAUAGGGUAAAUAAA